UACUCGUUGCGCGUCCGUUUUUGCAUUGUGCCUCGCACCUUGGUAUACUCAGCGUAGUCAGAAAUGCAAAUAAUAUUCUAAGAUAUAGUCGAUAAAUAUGCAUGCUGUAGAAAAAAAGAGCAAACGAUGACCAUAUCAGUUAACAGACAUUGUAAGCCAAAAGCGUGGAAAUAAUUGCUCUCCGAUAUUAAUAUUUCGCGGUUACGACGUUGAUCAAGGAAUCUGUAAAACCGGUAAACAUGUAUUUCAUAAUCGCUGGCGGCUGACCCGAUGACGUGGAAGGACAAAUAAUGUAGCAUAUAUAUAUGCGGUAGGUACACGAAAUCGGCAUCCUUAUAAUGUCCAUUCUCGAUCUUGUUCCAUCGUAGACCAGCGAGGAUGCACUUGUCCUCCUCUGGCAGCCGCUACGCGCCGUCGACGCCGACCAAUCACGGUUGGCAGACAACAGGUGACCGACCAAUCCGGUCUCCCUGUCACGAGACCCGUCGCUUUUACGUUGCGCUAAGCAUUUCGCUUCACGGAUAUUCCAACCAAAUCCGACGACGAUCGCUUUCCCACUUCGUUGCUCGUUUUACUGCCUCUCUGUCUAUACAUAGCUCUUCUCGUUCUCCAGUUUCCCCACCCUGGCCACUGAUCGUGCCAACCUGCUGCUCGUCGGCUUUCCUUCGCUAUCCUUCCAAAGUCGAUUUAACGGAGACUAUAGGAAUCCGUGUUAUCCACGGCGGACACGUUUUGAAUUUUUCUGACCGGUUCUCGAAAUGGUUUUCCGAUACAGGAAGCCACGACCAAGAUUCAAUGCCAAAUAUAUUUAAUCCAUUGAUGUCUAUACCCCAAAUGCCCUCGAAGCAUAAUUUUCUAUCACUGUUAAAUAUUGCAUGCCGACAGCGCGAUUUUAAAAAGCUGACCGGUCGCGAAAAAAACGUUAACACUGGAGUAAGACGUACUCGUGCACGCACGCUAUCAAGGCCGUGAUCAUGUUAUGGAGGGAGCACCGAAACGGGGGCACAGGCGACGGUACGUACCUGUGAUCUUUUACAAGCUGUUAGAGACUCCUUAUGCUCAGAGGGAGUGCGCAAGGUAGUCGCCAUUUUCCUGUACUCCACUUGAAAAUCUACCUUCUAACGUCGACCAGCUAUAUAGGGUGUGCUGGAACUGAUUAUUCGAACUUUUUGUACACCUGGUACUUGUCAAAAUAAGAAAAAAAGAGUUUCCAAGUUAGAAAGAAAAAUCUUAUUUCGUGGGAACAGACAUUCGAAAUGUCUCUUAGACGGUUGCUGGUAUUAUUACCAUUAUUCUUAUCGUCAUUUUACAUCUACGACCAUCUAGAAUCUACUGUCGUGGGCGAUGUCAGAUACCAAUCUUGAAGUGAACGUGUUCGCAAACUUAUGUUUGCACAUUCGCGGAAUUCCCAUGCAGAGUCUGGUGAAACGUUUUACGAUAGCAUUUUACUGCCCAAGUUAAAUAAAAAAUAUAUCUCUCGAGAAAUUAAUCGAUUUUCUUUUUAUUUUAUAUUGCCUACUCUGGUUCUUGUACCAACAACCUGUUUCACACACACACACUAACGCUACGACUUACGUAAGUUCCCAAUACCUAAUUGUUUUUUUUUUUUUCUUUAAAUUAUUUACGAGUGCUCUCCCCUUUCUAGUAUUUCAACGACAAACAUACUGUUUUAGAGACGUUCCUGUAUAGGUGUAUACGAGCGUACAGUAACCAUAAUCGAACUAACAAAUGAAAUUUGACGGUUUCAAAUUUUGCAUUCUUAAACAAACCUUUGUUUACGUUGCGAUCUUUUUAUGAGAUUGAGAAUAUUAAGAAAUAAGUAAAUGACGUAGAUCUCCACUAAAAGACUUCAACAAAAUGAAACCUCCCUUUUCAGAAGAAUGCCAAAAUUACAUCGA
Hylaeus anthracinus is the source of this 1898-nucleotide long non-coding RNA. RefSeq lists it as uncharacterized. The record is from RefSeq and is a predicted model, not a curated record. NCBI's taxonomy places the organism in Eukaryota, Metazoa, Arthropoda, Insecta, Hymenoptera, Colletidae. The transcript is spliced from 3 exons.